UACGUAGGGUGCGAGCGUUGUCCGGAAUUACUGGGCGUAAAGAGUUCGUAGGCGGUUUGUCGCGUCGUUUGUGAAAACCCGGGGCUCAACUUCGGGCUUGCAGGCGAUACGGGCAGACUUGAGUGUUUCAGGGGAGACUGGAAUUCCUGGUGUAGCGGUGAAAUGCGCAGAUAUCAGGAGGAACACCGGUGGCGAAGGCGGGUCUCUGGGCAGUAACUGACGCUGAGGAGCGAAAGCGUGGGGGAGCGAACAGG
This 254-nucleotide ribosomal RNA is filed under the name uncultured bacterium. RNAcentral's name for it is "partial 16S ribosomal RNA". It matches the Rfam family "Bacterial small subunit ribosomal RNA", at positions 524 to 776 of the family's 1533-position model. The record is from RNAcentral.